ACUAUAUCUGGUAUUCAAGGUUCUUCCGAUUCUGUCGGAAGCGAAGAUGGGAAUACGGUGCGCGAAGCCAGCGAUGGUGGAGCAAUGCCGCAGCUGCCCCCGCAACUGUAAGCGGCGAGCAUUCUCUCAGCAGCCACUGAAACAUAAGGUUUCGGGAAGGCGAGAUGAAUGUGACGACCCGCGAGCCAGGAGACCUGCCUUGAGUCAGUACGUCCA
This 216-nucleotide non-coding RNA is filed under the name Rhizobium sp. Lineage: Bacteria; Pseudomonadati; Pseudomonadota; Alphaproteobacteria; Hyphomicrobiales; Rhizobiaceae. The record is from RNAcentral.